AUGCCAGCCUUUGAGCAGCUGCUCAACCCAGUCUUGGAAAACGAAAUGAGAGAGCUCCCCAAAUGUAUUUUUGGAACUUCCUGUGAAUGGCUCUCUGACUCCCUGAAUGGCUGCUCUCCACCUUACACUCUUUCAGAGAUAAAGAAAACUCACCAGGGAGCCUGCAGGAUAAGAGAGAAAUGCACCAAAAAACUUCAGGUGGUGCUCUGGCAGCUUCUUGCCGCCUCCACGGACUUGGGCUGAUUGGCAGAGUGAUGUCAGCUGAUACCGAUUCACAUGGAGUUUUGAUAAGACAGACUCACUUGCUGAGGCAAGACUCGUGGUGAGGCAAGACCCAUGGAGGACACGUGAUGUUUGGAGGGAGUAUAAAUAGGACUCAACGAACUGUGAGAGAGGCUUGAUUACAUAGCUAUCUUUGCAAAACUUCUUGGUCUCAUGUCUCCCCUGAUCUUUGUUUGGUUCAUUGAGAGAAGCACAGCCAAGAACUUAUCCUGAUGUUCUUGGUGAUCCUGGUUGCUCCUGCUGACUUGUGCCAAUUUGGCUGAGGCCUGACUGUCGCUGCUGGGUCAUGCCACUACAGCUGAUUCAUGUUUGCUAUACUGACACUACUGAACUGGACUGCUGGUCUAUUCAUGAAGUGUUUGCAAGUGGAUCGAGCUGCCACUGCUGAAUCCUGUAAACUGAGCUGCUGCUUUCCUGACAAUGCGGAUGAGAUUUGCUCCAAAGAACAAUUUCCAAACAAGUCCACUUCCCCAUAUGUUAUUAAUCUUUCCUUCCCACUGCCUCUGAUGGGUGGUGGGCUAGAAGGAAGGUUAAAGCAUUUAAGAACCCAUAUUAAAAGUAGGCUUUGAAAAAAACUAAGACGACAAUAUAAUAAUGGGCGAAGCAAUGCAAAAUUAAAGCCAAGUUACAGAAGGUCUGAAAAAGUAAUAUAAAGUUUAUGAGGAGCGGGACUUAGUGAUAUAUUUACUGAUAAGAGUUUAUUAAUGUUCCCGAGGCUAUAACAACCUAGUCAUGAUAGCAAAGAUUUAAAGUGUUUGUCUAAUCACUUAUAUCUUUGCUCGUUUUGUUAAGCCUUGCUAUCUGGGAAAACUGGGUCCCAGCAAUAGAGAUAGUAAUGAUUCAUUGCACACAGUUUCAUCCUAUGCGUGUCCACUUAAGAAAUCAGUGAGGUCUGCUCUCCUGAAUUAUGAAGAAAAUGAACUAGCUUGAGAAGAAAAUAAUGUCAGAUGCUAACAUUCCAGGAAAUCUCACUUUAGAAAGGAGGAUUCCGAAAUAAAAGAAAAUGCUCAUUUGGGGAGAAAUAAAUGCUAAGAAGGAAUAAAGUCACCUUUCAGUUUG
RNAcentral lists this long non-coding RNA (1341 nucleotides) under Mus caroli (Ryukyu mouse). RNAcentral's name for it is "predicted gene 44850 (MGP_CAROLIEiJ_G0004082.1)". The record is from RNAcentral. Lineage: Eukaryota; Metazoa; Chordata; Mammalia; Rodentia; Muridae.